UCUCCUCUCACUUCUCUCAUCGCUCAUCUCAUUCUCAUCUCGCUGCUCUCUUUCAAACCCAUCUUCUCUUUCAAUUCUCUCAUCUAAAUUCAAACCUGCAACCAUAAAAAACUCUCAUAUCUCUCAUCCCUUUGCAAACGGAGAACACUCAUUGAGGAGUCGGAGCCUCACCGGCUUCCUUCUUGCUUAUCCGACGACAACAAGCAACCCUGAAACCCUUGAUUUUUCUGGCAAUGGUGGCGACUGAGGCUUGACGAGGACAGACAGAGAGACUGAGAACAGAGAGAGACGGUGGAGGUAGGUGGACAACGGCGACCGAAGGGGUUUUCCGGCGACCCGCCGGAGAAGAUGACGAUGGUGAGCGACAGGGAAGGAAUAAUUACAUAAUAAUUAAAGUCAUAGCAGGUGUACUUUCAAGAACAAAAUUACAAAAGAAAAAAAAAUAGGGAACAUUGUAUCAACAAAUGGACAUCCCCAAUGUGAAAUGCAGUUGGUUGACGAUGGUUUUUGUUUUUAAAAGGAGCUAUUGGUUUGGGGCUCUUUUAUGACAGCUGGUAAAUUCAAUGCAGGCUUUGCAAUUUGAGGAUGCAAAGUUUAAGGCAUUUGAUCUUGCCUCCAAACCCGAGGGAAGUGAGCUUAUUUGCCCAGAUCACCUCUCGGUUUUAAGUUUUAACUUCCUUCUUGUUGUGCUAUAAUAAUUGCCAUAGUGUCACUUGUUUGAUGUAUUUGUCGGGACUAGUGUCAAUGCCGGAUUUGGGUGAGAUGUGAUAAUUUUGGAUAUUUUCAGAUGUGGCAAACUUUAUAAUAGAAAUUAUUGAUCA
Molecule: long non-coding RNA, 821 nt
Organism: Helianthus annuus (common sunflower)
Lineage: Eukaryota; Viridiplantae; Streptophyta; Magnoliopsida; Asterales; Asteraceae
Exons: 2
Source: RefSeq, a predicted model, not a curated record